CUACCUCGUCGCCCCUGCGGAGGCAGGGGCCUAUGUCUGUAUCCUCAUGCCACUCCGCCCGGAGGCGAAAGACAUGGGCCCCUGCCUGCGCAGGGGCGACGUGA
Molecule: microRNA precursor, 104 nt
Filed under: Sphingomonas endophytica
Lineage: Bacteria; Pseudomonadati; Pseudomonadota; Alphaproteobacteria; Sphingomonadales; Sphingomonadaceae
Description: microRNA MIR1846
Source: RNAcentral